AUCCGUGACUAUAGCAAAGGAGCCACACCUGUUCCCAUCCCGAACACAGCAGUUAAGUCCUUUUGCGCUGAUGGUACUUGGCGGGAGACUGCCCGGAAGAGUAGGUCGUUGCGGGUU
This 117-nucleotide ribosomal RNA is filed under the name Eubacteriaceae bacterium. Lineage: Bacteria; Bacillati; Bacillota; Clostridia; Eubacteriales; Eubacteriaceae. RNAcentral also lists the same sequence under 1 other name. The record is from RNAcentral.